This 302-nucleotide ribosomal RNA is filed under the name uncultured bacterium. RNAcentral's name for it is "bacterial SSU rRNA". It matches the Rfam family "Bacterial small subunit ribosomal RNA", at positions 28 to 333 of the family's 1533-position model. The record is from RNAcentral.
GAUGAACGCUAGCGGCAGGCUUAACACGUGCAAGUCGAGGGGUAUGGCCGAUUUAUCGGCAGAGACCGGCGCACGGGUGCGUAACGCGUAUGCAAUCUACCUUUCACAGAGGGGAUAGCCCCAGAGAAAUUUGGAUUAAUACUUCAUAGUAUUUUCGGAUCGCAUGAUUUGAUUAUUAAAGUUCCAACGGUAAAGAUGAGUAUGCGUCCCAUUAGCUAGAUGGUAAGGUAACGGCUUACCAUGGCAAUGAUGGGUAGGGUCCUGAGAGGAGAUCCCCACACUGGUACUGAGACAACGGUCCA